CGAACCCCUAUGUCCUUAUUGAUGAGGGCUAGGUAUGACAGAAAAGCUAUCUCGGGGAUAAUUGAGUUGUAGCGCCUAAGAGUUCAAAUCGACGGCGCUGCUUGCUACUUCGUUGUCGGCUCUUCGCAUCCUGGAAGUGCAGAAGCUUCCAAGGGUACGGGUGUUCACCGGUUAAAGCGGAUCGUUAGCUGGGUUAAGAACGUCGUGAGACAGUUUGUAUAAUAUCUACUAGGUGUGUUAUUGUCUGAGUGGAACGAUCCCGUAGUACGAGAGGAACCGGGACCGGGUGCCUCUGGUGAGCAGUUGUCAAAGGCAAGCUGCAUAGCUACGCACUACAUGGAUAAGAGCUGAAGGCAUCUAAGCUCGAAGCCAUUCGCAAGACGAGACAAUUAAGGCCGUCGAAAAAGACGACGUUGAUAGAGUUGCUGUGUAAGACUCAAGCUUCGGCGAGAGUUUCAGCAGACAACCACUAAAAGCCCCACCUGUCUUUUGA
RNAcentral lists this ribosomal RNA (493 nucleotides) under Candidatus Thalassarchaeaceae archaeon. Its description in RNAcentral is "partial 23S ribosomal RNA". It matches the Rfam family "Archaeal large subunit ribosomal RNA", at positions 2486 to 2987 of the family's 2987-position model. The record is from RNAcentral. Lineage: Archaea; Methanobacteriati; Thermoplasmatota; Candidatus Poseidoniia; Candidatus Poseidoniales; Candidatus Thalassarchaeaceae.